AGGACGAACGCUGGCGGCGUGCUUAACACAUGCAAGUCGAACGGAAAGGCCCUUCGGGGUACUCGAGUGGCGAACGGGUGAGUAACACGUGGGUGAUCUGCCCCGCACUUUGGGAUAAGCCUGGGAAACUGGGUCUAAUACCGAAUAGGACCAUGGGAUGCAUGUCCUGUGGUGGAAAGCUUUUGCGGUGUGGGAUGGGCCCGCGGCCUAUCAGCUUGUUGGUGGGGUUAAGGCCUACCAAGGCGACGACGGGUAGCCGGCCUGAGAGGGUGUCCGGCCACACUGGGACUGAGAUACGGCCCAGACUCCUACGGGAGGCAGCAGUGGGGAAUAUUGCACAAUGGGCGCAAGCCUGAUGCAGCGACGCCGCGUGGGGGAUGACGGCCUUCGGUUGUAAACCUCUUUCAGUAGGACGAAGCGCAAGUGACGGUACCUACAGAAGAAGCACCGGCCAACUACGUGCCAGCAGCCGC
This 473-nucleotide ribosomal RNA is filed under the name uncultured bacterium. RNAcentral's name for it is "SSU rRNA". It matches the Rfam family "Bacterial small subunit ribosomal RNA", at positions 26 to 518 of the family's 1533-position model. The record is from RNAcentral.